Molecule: non-coding RNA, 45 nt
Filed under: Trichobilharzia regenti
Lineage: Eukaryota; Metazoa; Platyhelminthes; Trematoda; Strigeidida; Schistosomatidae
Source: RNAcentral
AUCCGGCUGAUGAGUCCUAGACAGGACAAAAUGUGUAUCCUGUAU